AGAGAGAGACAUGCGCGCAUAUCAAUAAGCGGAGGAAAAGAAACUAACAAGGAUUCCCCUAGUAACGGCGAGUGAAGCUGGGAAGAGCUCAAACUUGGAAUCUUAAAGGGUUUCCCUUUACGAAUUGUAGUUUAAAGAAGUGUUUUCUGUUGAGGUUUUGGUAAAAGUUCUUUGGAAUAGGACAUCAUAGAGGGUGAGAAUCCCGUAUUUGACCUUUACUUUCAACUUUGUGAUACACUUUCAAAGAGUCGGAUUGUUUGGGAAUGCAGUCCAAAAUGGGUGGUAAAUUUCAUCUAAAGCUAAAUAUUGGCGAGAGACCGAUAGCGAACAAGUACCGUGAGGGAAAGAUGAAAAGAACUUUGAAAAGAGAGUUAAACAGUACGUGAAAUUGUCAAAAGGGAAGCGUUUGACACCAGUGUUGUUUUUCUGAAAAUCAAUUAAAGAACUGUUUAUGCUAAGUUGUUUAGACUUUAUCAGCUAACUGUUUAGUUUUGAGCUUUUCUUUAAUGCACUUUUCAGUUAACAAGUCAACAUCAAUUUCUUUUGCUGUAAAAAAGCUUGAGGAAGGUGGCUUGAGAUUCGUCUUAAGUGUUUAUAGCCUCUUGCCUAUGCAGUCGGAGAGAUUGAGGUCUGCAGCGUAGAUCCUUCGGGGCUAAAUGCAUUUGUGCUAAGUUAUAGCAUUUUAUAGACAACUUGUUGACUAUGAUUUGUCUUGUAGCUUACUCGCUUAUGUUAUUUUACCUACGCUUAGGAUGUUGACGCAUGAGAUAUACGC
RNAcentral lists this ribosomal RNA (775 nucleotides) under uncultured Neocallimastigales. RNAcentral's name for it is "partial large subunit ribosomal RNA". It matches the Rfam family "Eukaryotic large subunit ribosomal RNA", at positions 23 to 646 of the family's 3401-position model. The record is from RNAcentral. Lineage: Eukaryota; Fungi; Neocallimastigomycota; Neocallimastigomycetes; Neocallimastigales.